UACAGAGGAGCCAAGCGUUGUCCGGAUUUACUGGGCGUAAAGCGCACGCAGGCGGACGCGCGCGUGGGGUGUGAAAUCUGGCCGCUUAACCGCCAGGCGCCAUCCCAUACGGCGCGUCUGGAGCCAUGCAGAGGGCGGUGGAAUUGCCGGUGUAGUGGUGAAAUGCGUAGAGAUCGGAAAGAACACCAACGGCGAAGGCGGUCUGCUGGGCCGACACUGACACUGAGAGACGAAAGCUAGGGGAGCGAAUGGG
Molecule: ribosomal RNA, 253 nt
Filed under: uncultured bacterium
Lineage: Bacteria
Description: partial 16S ribosomal RNA
Rfam family: Bacterial small subunit ribosomal RNA
Source: RNAcentral